GAGUCAACAACAAAACAUGGUGGUAGAUUUUUAGUAUAGUCCAACACAAACAUUUGGACAAUCACAGGCACAAGUGACUUUGGGUGAAACUAGUGAUAACUCUCUCAUAAAAUUCUGGCAUGUCUCAACUUGAACGAUCCCUCACAAUUAGGGUUGGAGAUUGUCCAUUCAAAUUGGAAUAACAACAUUAAUAACAACAACAAUAACAAUCACAUCAUUCAACAUAAUGAUCCUUCUUCCAUUCAAAUUGAUGCAAUAACUCCUAAUGUUAAUGGAUUUAACAAUUCAAUGGAGGAGAAUAUCAUGGAAAACAGUAAAUACUUUGCUGAAACAACACCUGAGAAUGAUGCAUGCAAAUGGGAUGAUAUCGAUGCUUUCCUCAAUGAAGCUUUGAAUGAAGACUUUUGAAAUUUAGAUUGAUCAACCAAUGAAAAAAAACUUUUCUUUAUGUUUAGUCCAUUUAAAAGAUCACAGUCUUUUGAUAUUUUAGUAUUAUUUUACUUAUAUCAGUAUGCAAGAUAUCAUCUUAAUGUUAGUAGA
Molecule: long non-coding RNA, 540 nt
Organism: Solanum tuberosum (potato)
Lineage: Eukaryota; Viridiplantae; Streptophyta; Magnoliopsida; Solanales; Solanaceae
Exons: 4
Source: RefSeq, a predicted model, not a curated record